AUUGAACGCUGGCGGCAGGCCUAACACAUGCAAGUCGAGCGGAUGACGGGAGCUUGCUCCCUGAUUCAGCGGCGGACGGGUGAGUAAUGCCUAGGAAUCUGCCUGGUAGUGGGGGACAACGUUUCGAAAGGAACGCUAAUACCGCAUACGUCCUACGGGAGAAAGCAGGGGACCUUCGGGCCUUGCGCUAUCAGAUGAGCCUAGGUCGGAUUAGCUAGUAGGUGAGGUAAUGGCUAACCUAGGCGACGAUCCGUAACUGGUCUGAGAGGAUGAUGAGUCACAGUGGAACUGAGACAAGGUCCAGAAUCGGACGGGAGGCAGCAGUGGAGAAUGUUGGAGAGUGGGCGAAAGCCAGAACCAGCCAAGCCGCGUGUGUGAAGAAGGUCGUCGGAUUGUAAAGCACUUUAAGUUUGGAGGAAGGGCAGUAAGUUAAUACCUUGCUGUUUUGACGUUACCGACAGAAUAAGCACCGGCUAACUCUGUGCCAGCCGCCGCCGUAA
RNAcentral lists this ribosomal RNA (500 nucleotides) under uncultured bacterium. Its description in RNAcentral is "partial 16S ribosomal RNA". It matches the Rfam family "Bacterial small subunit ribosomal RNA", at positions 30 to 523 of the family's 1533-position model. The record is from RNAcentral.